RNAcentral lists this unclassified non-coding RNA (229 nucleotides) under Ascomycota sp. RNAcentral describes it as "partial contains small subunit ribosomal RNA, internal transcribed spacer 1, and 5.8S ribosomal RNA". The stretch from base 1 to 47 matches the Rfam family "Eukaryotic small subunit ribosomal RNA", at positions 1785 to 1831 of the family's 1831-position model. The record is from RNAcentral. Lineage: Eukaryota; Fungi; Ascomycota.
AAAGUCGUAACAAGGUCUCCGUUGGUGAACCAGCGGAGGGAUCAUUACAGUAGACCGCCUCCGGGCCCUACCAACCCCGUGAACCUAUACAGACGUUGCCUCGGCGGGUCCGCCCGCCGCAGUGCCGACACAUAAAACCCAAACCACAGCCGCCGUGCCUCUGACUGCAGCCUCGUGCUGCGAUUUUAUAAUGAGUUAAAAACUUUCAACAACGGAUCUCUUGGCUCCG